UGUUAAAACUUUCAUCUAUUUCUAUUGUUAAAAACUAGUGUACCUGACAGAAUAACCAGACAAUGAUAUAUGGCAUGCCAUUUGUACCCCAUGUUGAUGUAUAGGGACCAAAUUUUAACAAUAGAAAUGGAUGAAAAUUUUAACA
Gossypium hirsutum (cotton) is the source of this 145-nucleotide non-coding RNA. NCBI's taxonomy places the organism in Eukaryota, Viridiplantae, Streptophyta, Magnoliopsida, Malvales, Malvaceae. The record is from Rfam.